This 184-nucleotide ribosomal RNA is filed under the name Brevibacterium antiquum CNRZ 918. RNAcentral describes it as "partial 23S rRNA. Bacterial LSU". It matches the Rfam family "Bacterial large subunit ribosomal RNA", at positions 2740 to 2925 of the family's 2925-position model. The record is from RNAcentral. Lineage: Bacteria; Bacillati; Actinomycetota; Actinomycetes; Micrococcales; Brevibacteriaceae.
GCUGGUUGGCUACGUUCGGGAAGGAUAACCGCUGAAAGCAUCUAAGCGGGAAGCCUGCUUCGAGAUGAGAUUUCCAACCCCACUUGUUGGGGGUGAGGUGUCCUAUAGAUUAUGGGUUUGAUAGGCCGGGUAUGGAAGCACUGUGAGGUGUGGAGUUGACUGGUACUAAUACGCCGAUCACUCA